CUGAACCGUCUAAAUAUAGAUGGGACCAAAUGUCAUGACGUGGACGGUCCGAUGCCGGUGGACCGAAGAGGAUGGCCUACACUUCGUGCACUUGCCAACCUUUUGAAUUGUCAUCGUCUCAGCGUCAAUUCUCUGCAACACCUGAAAAUGCCCAAAUCAAACACUAAUUUCCCGUACGUUUCCUCCAGCAAUCCUCCUGGCAACUUGUUCAUGGACUCAAACCAACUCGUCGACUCGCUCACCGCUCAUAUCUCUCUCUAUCACAACCGCUCCCCAAGCUCUAGCCCGAACCCUAACCCUAACCCUAGAUCUUCUAUUCUUAAAUGGUUCUCAUCUCUCACUGUCCAGCAGCGCCAGUCUUACAUUUCAGCGGUAGAUUCCAACUUCGUCCAGAUUCUCCUCCAAAUGCAAUUUAAACUCUAUACCCAUGGUCAUGGCUUCUUCAUUAUCCUCCCUGACCUCCCCUCACGUGAUCGCCCACACCUUCCCAGCCUCUGCUUUCGGAAGUCACGUGGUCUGCUGGCCCGAGUCAGCGAGUCAAACGACUUGGAACGAUUGAUUAACGACUCGGUUAGGUUGUUCGGGUCCAAGGAAGGUGAGCGAGUGGAAGAUUGUUCGUGUUCGGCGAGUUUUCUCGAUUCACUCACUGUUUGUGAAGAAUUUGUGUCAAAUGUCGAUCGGUUUGUCGCGGCAAUGGAUAGUGUUUCGAAUGGGGGGUUUUUGAGGGGUGAAGAAAGCGGGCUGGGCUCAGAUUGGGUUGAAUUGGAGUGGUUGAAGGCGAAAGGCUAUUAUAGUAUUGAAUCGUUUGUUGCAAACCGGUUGGAGGUGGCGUUGAGGUUGGCAUGGUUUAACUGUGGGAAUAAUGGGAAGAAAAGAGGAGUUAAGUUGAAAGAGAAGGUUAAUGUCGCUGGAAUUGCGGCAAAUGUUUUUUGGAGGAAGAAAGGCUGUAUAGAUUGGUGGCAAAAUUUGGAUUGUGCAAUGAGGAGGAAGAUGAUCAUUGUGGUUUUGGGAAAGGCAGCAAAAUCUCUGACUGAUGAGAUUCUGAAAGGGGCAUAUAGUGCCUUGGAGGAUGAGAAGUGGCUCUUCAAUGCUGGAGGGGGACAACCAGUGAAAUACAAAUAUACUGCAUCAUCUCAAAGGACAGACCAGGCACUCUCUGAUGAUGCAGAAGCUGGCUCAAUUAUGAUCCCAUCUUCUGUCUCUGGAAAACCCAAGUCCUUUUUUAAUUUCUCUAAUGGUUUAUUUGUGGUUCAGGAUAUUUUGAACAUUAUAUUGACAUGUCAACAUAGUGAAUACGACAGAGACAAAAUAUUUUUUAGCACAUUGGGUUCUAUCAGUACCAUUUCAGAUUGUAUAUUUCGGAAACUUCGAGGACUACUUAUGGUUGUUUGGCUUGAUUUCACAAAACUUGAACUGCUAGGAGAAGGAAAUUUGAAGUCCCCGCCAAAUAAAUCCAAAGAAAAGCUUGGUACAGGUGGGCGUAAAAAAAGGGGUAGGACCCGGAAUAUGAAGAAGUUAAAUCCUGUUCCUAGGUCAUGUGGAGAUGAUUCCAAAAGUCUCAAACCUCUCAAGGAUCAUGGAUGUGGAUUGGCCUAUGCCAAGUGUGUGGAUUUUGUGGAGUCCAAUAGGAUGGCUGGUGAACUUCAGCAAAGUGAUCUUCACAUGGAGGCAUCCUCUUCAGUGGUUGAGAUGGAAAAUGACAUGUUUUCGGGAAAAGUUCAAAAUGCUGCAAGGAAGUCUAGAAAAGAAAGAAAUAAAAAUAGAAUUUACAGCUUAAAAGAUCCAGUUGAAGUAAGAGAUCUUGAAACAAUAACAACAGAACCUUCUGCUCCAUCUGUUAUAUCCCAGAGUGAGCCUUCAAAGUCUAACUGGAAAUCUGAUAGUUCAGUCUCUGAGAAUGUGCCAAAUGAUGCUUCAAUUGGUUGUGACAAGUUCAUUUCAAGUCCUUGUAAACCUACUAAUGGGCCUUCAAGGGCAGAAACUACUGCUCAAAGCAUUCGAGAAGAUCCUGUUGUCAGUUCCAUUGAAGUUGAUGUUGCUUUCAGCGGUGAAGACAUUAAAUUUCAGAACUCCGAACAUUUGAGUGAAACUGAUACAAAGUGUGUUUCUGACAAACCAAUCAAAGCUACUGAGUUGGAAGAGGAAAUUGUCCAAAAUCAGGAGCAAGAAAGGGGGAAGUUUUGUAAUACUGGAUCCACAAGUUCUUCAGAAUGCCCUUCAUAUGAGUGGCCUACUGUUGCUCCCAUUCAUUUUACAUCUAUCAAUUCACAACAUCUCCCAGCUGCCACUGAUAGAUUGCAUCUGGAUGUUGGUCGUAACUGGCAUAAUCAUUUCCAUCAAUCCUUUGUACCCUCAAUACACCAGACCAGAAAUCCUUCAUUGGAUGCUGGGUGCAGCCAGAUUUUAUCUCGACCUUUGCCAAUGAGUUUAGAUUGGCCCCCAAUGGUACGAAGUAUCAGUAGAUUGGCCCCAUCAAUGACAUGUAAUUAUGAUCCUGGAUUUAUCUCAAGGAUGCAGUCUUCUUUUCGGCAGGGGUUCCCUGCUCACAAUGUGCAGGUCAAUACAGCCACCUCUGAAGAUGAAAGAAAGUAUUCAGGCGAUUUGAUGGAUCUGUCUGAUUUAACAAAUGUGCAAGAGUUAGCAGAUGAAUGUGACAGCCACUGGAUAUCAGAGGAAGAAUUUGAGUUGCAUGCAGUUUCUGGAUUAGAUUAUAGUCAGUACUUUGGUGGCGGUGUGAUGUAUUGGAAUUCUUCUGAUCAUCCAGGGUCAGGUUUCUCUCGUCCUCCAUCCCUUAGUUCUGAUGAUAGCUCAUGGGCUUGGCACGAAGCAGACAUGAAUAGGGCUGUUGAUGACAUGGUUGCCUUCUCUUCAUCUUACAGUACAAAUGGCUUGGCUUCACCUACUGCUGCUUCUUUUUGUUCUCCGUUUGAUCCUUUGGGGGCAGGCCACCAGCCUCUUGGUUAUGUCAUAUCAGGAAAUGAAGGACCUGGUAAAGUGCUGCAUUCUUCUUCAGCAUCAGCAGAUGCAAUGCCAGAGGAGAAAGUUUCUGGAUCUUUGGCAAAUUUACCUGUUGAUGUUGAAGGGAAAACAGGAGAUCCACUUCCUUACUCACUUUUGCCACCAAUUAUCAUUCCCAAUAUGUCAAGGGAAAGGUCAAGAUCUGAAUUUAAGCGUAAUUUUGAUCGUAAAAGCCCAUGUGUUCCUCCUGCGAGGCGGGAGCAACCUCGCAUUAAGCGGCCACCAUCACCUGUAGUGCUUUGUGUUCCACGGGCUCCUCGUCCACCUCCACCCUCUCCUGUAAGCGAUUCCAGAAAGAACAGAGGCUUUCCAACUGUUAGAUCUGGUAGUUCUAGCCCAAGGCACUGGGGUAUGCGGGGUUGGUAUCAUGAUGGAAGUAACCUUGAGGAAGCUUGUGUAUGCAUAGAUGGUGCUGAAGUUGUUUGGCCUUCUUGGAGGAAUAAAAAUCUUUCAACUCGUCCAAUGAUUCAACCUCUACCUGGAGCGUUACUGCAGGAUCGCCUGAUUGCUAUCUCCCAGUUGGCUCGUGAUCAGGAACAUCCAGAUGUUGCAUUUCCUUUGCAACCACCUGAUUUAUUGAGCUGUUCCAUGAGAAAGACAGCCCUCUCUAUGAUGCACAGCCUCCUACAUGAGGAAAUUGAUUCUUUCUGGAAGAAGGUUGCUGCAGAGAAUAUGAUUAGGAAGCCUUACAUUAAUUGGGCUGUCAAGCGUGUUACACGAUCUCUCCAAGUCCUAUGGCCUCGGUCCAGGACAAAUAUCUUUGGUUCAAAUGCAACUGGUUUAUCUCUUCCAACAAGUGAUGUAGACCUUGUAAUUUGCCUUCCUCCAGUGAGGAACUUGGAGCCUAUUAAAGAAGCUGGGAUUUUAGAGGGUCGAAACGGUAUUAAAGAAACUUGUCUUCAGCAUGCAGCCAGAUAUCUAGCAAAUCAGGAGUGGGUAAAAAAUGAUUCUCUUAAAACUGUGGAAAAUACAGCUAUACCUAUUAUCAUGCUUGUGGUGGAAGUUCCCCCUGAUCUCACUACCUCUGCUGCCCCUAAUCUACAAACAUCAAAAGAGGAGCCAACUCCUAUGCCAGGUGGACAAGGAAGUCAUAUUCAGACCGAAAUGGGUGGUUUAGAGAACUCUGCUUCACCAAAGUGUGCACAGAUAAAUUAUGAUAAUAGCAAGGAUUCAAAGUCAGUUCGCAUUGACAUCAGUUUCAAGUCUCCAUCGCAUACAGGACUCCAAACCACAGAGCUGGUUAAAGAGUUAACUGAGCAAUUUCCUGCAGCUACACCCCUUGCUUUGGUGCUAAAACAGUUUUUGGCUGAUCGUAGCCUGGAUCAGUCCUACUCUGGUGGAUUAAGUUCAUAUUGUUUGGUGUUACUGAUCACACGGUUUCUUCAGCAUGAGCAUCAUCUUGGUCGCCCUAUCAAUCAAAACUUCGGAAGCCUGUUGAUGGAUUUUCUUUACUUCUUUGGGAAUGUGUUUGAUCCACGUCAAAUGCGUAUUUCAGUACAAGGAAGUGGAGUGUAUAUAAAUAGGGAAAGAGGAUAUAGCAUUGAUCCAAUUCACAUUGACGAUCCUCUUUUUCCAACAAAUAACGUGGGAAGGAACUGCUUUCGGAUACAUCAAUGUAUCAAGGCAUUUUCAGAUGCUUAUUCUAUUCUGGAGAAUGAACUCACAUGCCUCCCCAUAAGUGGCGAUUCAAGUACAAGUCCACCAUACAGGCUUCUUCCAAAAAUUAUCUCCAGUAUUGAUCUUUUAUAGGGAUUCCAAGUAUUUGGAGAAUUUUUAUUUGUUUGGCAGAGCGGACAGAACCUGCAAACAGCCCUGCUCCACCAAAUGUCCCUAGCUGACCAGCCCUUCCAACAGCACCAGGUGCCCCAUCCCCUUGCCGAGCCACAACUUGGUCCUCCCUCUCUUUGGCGGUUGAUGUGUCCAAUCCUUGGCAUCAUGCUGAUCAAUUUUUAUUGGAUUUUCUUAAUGGCUAUCUACCACAGCUGAGAAACUCACACCUUCUGUUGAUGAUAUGGCUAAGCCUCUUGCAUCAAAGAAGCUGAAUGGAAUGAAUUACUUGGCUUGGAAACAUGUAUUGCAGUUCUUUUUGAGGGAAAAUUGACAUAAAAUCCAAGAACAUGAAGUUUGAAAUUGUGAGGAUGCUAUCGUGAUGUGGGCCGGUAUAGGCGUUUGGUUGAUGGUCAUUAGAACUGAAGAAUGCCCCAUGCAGUUUGACAUGCAAACUGUCUGCAAAUAUCCUUUGAAGUUGAUCUUGUCAUCCCCCAGAAUCCCGACCCUGCAUGAUUCAGAAAAAUCACAAAAAUGAAAUUGGGAUCUCUCAUUUGAUUGGGACCUUGCUGUUCAUCUGUCCCCUUUUGCAACCCGAUAUCAUUUGAUCAUCAUGAUUGAUUUGAUCUAUUUUCGAUCGAUUAUCCUCCAUGAUGAUGAAAAAGAAGGUAAGAUGCAUUUGAAUGUUAUUUGUUGGCUGUCUAAGCACUAAAUUAUUUUUUGGUGCUCGACUUCUCUAUGCUGGCCAUUUGUCGAUUGCAACAUCAAACUAUGGCUGCAAUACACACUGGAGAUCAUCAUUUGAACUUAUUCUGCAGUUGUUGGAAUGAGCCAAUUACGAGUCUGCUAGGCUGGUUUUUCUCAGAAUAUGAUAUGCAGCCUAGUGCAUGAGCAAACAACAGUUAUUUGGUGCACCCGAUACCGUUGUUAUACAUGCUGCAUAUACUUGUGGUGAAGGUAUUGUAUUGUAUAAUAAGUAUUAAGUUACUAUUCUCCGAACGCCUGCCUUGCUCUUUGCUUUCAUCUAUCGAGCUACAGGUUAGAUGCUGUCAUCAGUCAGAGAGAAGGUUGAACCCAGUUCAUCGGGCUCCCAAAAGUGGUUUUGGGGAAGAACAGGUUGAACAGGGUAGGAGUUUGUGUGGCUUGAUGGACCCUGGAGAGACAAGUACAAGGUUCUCCAAAAGAGGACCAGAAAUUGAUUUAUUGAAAACAGGGUGGUCCUGAGACAUAAAGAAAGAAUUGAUUUAAACCAAGCCGCCUUGUCAAAAAAGAGGGGAGAAAGAAUGUGGAAAAACAGAAUUCUGAAUGCACAGCUAUUCAUUCUAGUACCUGAUCACAUUGUAGGGAGUAUGCAAGAAAGUUACGCUUACAUUGUUUUGAGUAUUUAAAGUUUGCUUUUCCCCUUUCUUCUCACCUGUUAUCUUCGGUUCCCUUUCUCUGUUUAAGCGUCGAUAUUGACUGAAAAACAAUGAAUGAUGUCACAUGGGUAAUGAUGUUUUCUUCUUAUUA
Vitis vinifera (wine grape) is the source of this 6294-nucleotide RNA transcript. RefSeq lists it as uncharacterized. The transcript is spliced from 20 exons. Lineage: Eukaryota; Viridiplantae; Streptophyta; Magnoliopsida; Vitales; Vitaceae. The record is from RefSeq and is a predicted model, not a curated record.